GAAAUGCUCCUGCUUCUGCUUACCUACUUUGAUGAGAAGGAAGAGUCCUUGUUCUGCUAUGUGGAUGAUACAUGUCUGGCAGAAGAGGUCCAAUUGGAGCAAGUGCCUCUGACGCCUGCACUUAUUGUCUGUGGACAGUCCUGCUUUUCUGCAGCAAGGUACAUGCUGAGUCUGGAUCGGAACCUCAUCAACUCAAACAUCUCCUCCUUCAUUUCCGCGUUGUGCCUCAUGUUCGGGAGUUACUUCUGUUUCAAUAUCCAUUAUCCAUCUGAGCUGGCUUCAACGCUGGAGUUUCUUCAAAGAUGCUUUUUCUCAAUAAACCCAGAAAAAGGAACCAAAGUGGCGAAAAACUCAAAGUGUCGCCUGAACGUGAACCCACGAGUCCUCACCCUGAUACAGGACAUCUCGGACCACGAGUGGCGUGAAAAUUAACAAUGGAUUCUUGACUUCUGUGGACAGGUUGGGAAAAGGUCUUUUGUAAAAAAGAAAAGCAGAAAUGAGUCAAGUUGAGAAUAUUUUGUUCGAAACUGUUGCUUUUUUUUUUUUUUUAAUUUUAAUUAGAUAUGCUGUGGGCAAGGCACAGUAUUUUGUUAGUGAUGUGCAGAUUUAAAAUGUGUAGA
Molecule: long non-coding RNA, 620 nt
Organism: Sardina pilchardus (European sardine)
Lineage: Eukaryota; Metazoa; Chordata; Actinopteri; Clupeiformes; Clupeidae
Exons: 3
Source: RefSeq, a predicted model, not a curated record